AGUGAACGCUGGCGGCAGGCCUAACACAUGCAAGUCGAACGGCAGCACAGUAAGAGCUUGCUCUUACGGGUGGCGAGUGGCGGACGGGUGAGGAAUACAUCGGAAUCUACUUUUUCGUGGGGGAUAACGUAGGGAAACUUACGCUAAUACCGCAUACGACCUACGGGUGAAAGCAGGGGAUCUUCGGACCUUGCGCGAUUGAAUGAGCCGAUGUCGGAUUAGCUAGUUGGCGGGGUAAAGGCCCACCAAGGCGACGAUCCGUAGCUGGUCUGAGAGGAUGAUCAGCCACACUGGAACUGAGACACGGUCCAGACUCCUACGGGAGGCAGCAGUGGGGAAUAUUGGACAAUGGGCGCAAGCCUGAUCCAGCCAUACCGCGUGGGUAAAGAAGGCCUUCGGGUUGUAAAGCCCUUUUGUUGGGAAAGAAAAGCAGCAGGUUAAUACCCCGCUGUUCUGACGGUACCCAAAGAAUAAGCACCGGCUAACUUCGUG
RNAcentral lists this ribosomal RNA (492 nucleotides) under uncultured bacterium. RNAcentral describes it as "partial 16S ribosomal RNA". It matches the Rfam family "Bacterial small subunit ribosomal RNA", at positions 29 to 507 of the family's 1533-position model. The record is from RNAcentral.